AGAAGUUUCCCCCCUCCGGUGUUGCCCAGCCCUGGAUUUGAAAACUUUGGCCCAACUUGUGGCGAUAGCUACAACUUUGCUCCGCAGGGGUCAGAGGGACAUUCCUCGCUGCAGCAGUGUUAGACGCCGAAUUGAAGAAAAUCCUGGAGUUGAACAUAUCUUGGGGCGUAAAUAACAGCAAUAUGAAGGAAUUUCAGAGCUCUCCCUUUUGCUUGGGGGGAUUGAAGCCUCUUUUUUUUUUUCCCCCUUUUUUUUCCUUUUUUUUCUUUUUUCCCCUUCCUCCUUUUUCUCCCCCCCUUGCCAGCAUUCCCAAGGCGCUGAGUCUUUGUCUUAGAAGGAAUGGAGUGUCUGAAUGGUGUGAAAGGGACAGAGAGGGUUGCUUCAAAUCGAUUUUACUUGUCCUCUCUGUCUUUUCGGAUCAACGCCCUUCAAUGGACACAUAGGUGCUCUUUCAACCAAAAACUUGUGCAACAUUUUCUGCCUGUAUUGGUGCUAAAUACAAUAAAUGCUGGGCAGAUUUUUUUUC
This is a long non-coding RNA of Strigops habroptila (Kakapo), 526 nucleotides long. RefSeq lists it as uncharacterized. Lineage: Eukaryota; Metazoa; Chordata; Aves; Psittaciformes; Psittacidae. The record is from RefSeq and is a predicted model, not a curated record. The transcript is spliced from 2 exons.